ACCGAUGCGAUGACGAAGAAUAGUACAUAUGACGAGGCGUUCAGAGAGCUUGUGGACGGUGCGAACAAGCCGCUAGUUGUAUGGAAUGGGCUUUCGAGCAUUCAAGCUGAACAAAAAGUAGGCUUGGACGUUUGCCUUACGUUACAAAGGUGCCAUGCAUGCGCAUGGGCAAAGUGAUUGUCGCAAUGACAAUAACUAGGGUGGCACCACGGUUCUAUCGUCCCUAAA
RNAcentral lists this non-coding RNA (228 nucleotides) under Anoxybacillus flavithermus. Its description in RNAcentral is "T-box sequence". It matches the Rfam family "T-box leader". Rfam says of the family: Uncharged tRNA acts as the effector for transcription antitermination of genes in the T-box leader family. T-boxes are found upstream of many aminoacyl-tRNA synthetase genes and some amino acid biosynthetic genes usually in Gram-positive bacteria. The anticodon of a specific tRNA base pairs to a specifier sequence within the T-box motif, and the NCCA acceptor tail of the tRNA base pairs to a conserved bulge in the T-box antiterminator hairpin. The record is from RNAcentral. Lineage: Bacteria; Bacillati; Bacillota; Bacilli; Caryophanales; Anoxybacillaceae.